AGAGUUUGAUCAUCGCUCAGAUUGAACGCUGGCGGCAUGCUUAAUACAUGCAAGUCGAACGGUAACAGGUUUCGGAAUGCUGACUAGUGGCGAGUGGCGGACGGGGGAGUAAUGCAUAGGAAUCCGCCCAUGUAGUGGGGGAUAACUUGGGGAAACUCAAGCUAAUACCGCAUAAUUCCUACGGGAGAAAGCUUACAAGUAUAGGCCCUCUUUCUAUUGGAUGAGCCUAUGUCGGAUUAGUUAGUUGGUGAGGUAAUGGCUUACCAAGACUACAAUCCGUAGCUGGUUUGAGAGGAUGAUCAGCCACACUGGGACUGAGACACGGCCCAGACUCCUACGGGAGGCAGCAGUAGGGAGUAUUGGACAAUGGGCGCAAGCCUGAUCCAGCAAUGCCGCGUGUGUGAAGAAGGCCUGCGGGUUGUAAAGCACUUUCAAUUGGGAAGAAAGAUUUAGAGUUAAUACCUCUUAAUAUUGACGUUACCAAUAGAAGAAGCACCGGCUAACUCUGUGCCAGCAGCCGCGGUAAUACAGAGGGUGCGAGCGUUAAUCGGAAUUACUGGGCGUAAAGAGUACGUAGGUGGUUAAAUCAGUCGGAUGUGAAAGCCCCAGGCUUAACUUGGGAAUUGCAUUCGAUACUGUUUGACUAGAGUACAGUAGAGAGAAGCGGAAUUCCUAGUGUAGCGGUGAAAUGCGUAGAUAUUAGGAAGAACACCAGUGGCGAAGGCGUUUAUUGAUACUGACACUGAGGUAAAAGCGUGGGGAGCAAACAGGAUUAGAUACCCUGGUAGUCCACGCCCUAAACGAUGAGAACUAGAUGUUGGAGGAAUUUAUAAUCCUUUAGUAUCGUAGCUAACGCGAUAAGUUCUCCGCCUGGGGAGUACGGCCGCAAGGUUAAAACUCAAAUGAAUUGACGGGGGCCCGCACAAGCGGUGGAGCAUGUGGUUUAAUUCGAUGCAACGCGAAGAACCUUACCAGGUCUUGACAUCCAGAGAACUUACUAGAGAUAGUUUGGUGCCUUCGGGAACUCUGUGACAGGUGCUGCAUGGCUGUCGUCAGCUCGUGUUGUGAAAUGUUGGGUUAAGUCCCGUAACGAGCGCAACCCUUAUCCUUAUUUGCCAGCACGUAAUGGUGGGAACUCUAAGGAGACUGCCGGUGAUAAACCGGAGGAAGGUGGGGACGACGUCAAGUCAUCAUGGCCCUUACGGCCUGGGCUACACACGUGCUACAAUGGUGGAUACAGAGGGCUGCGAAACGGCGACGUUUAGCUAAUCUCAGAAAGUCCAUCUUAGUCCGGAUCGCAGUCUGCAACUCGACUGCGUGAAGUUGGAAUCGCUAGUAAUCGCGAAUCAGAAUGUCGCGGUGAAUACGUUCCCGGGCCUUGUACACACCGCCCCGUCACACCAUGGGAGUGGGCUGCACCAGAAGUGGUUAGUUUAACCUUCGGGAGAACGAUCACCACGGUGUGGUUCAUGACUGGGGUGAAGUCGUAACAAGGUAGCCGUAGGGGAACCUGCGGCUGGAUCACCUCCUU
This 1531-nucleotide ribosomal RNA is filed under the name uncultured prokaryote. RNAcentral describes it as "partial 16S ribosomal RNA". It matches the Rfam family "Bacterial small subunit ribosomal RNA". The record is from RNAcentral.